GACGAACGCUGGCGGCGUGCCUAAUACAUGCAAGUCGAACGCACAGUUUAUACCGUAGCUUGCUACACCAUAGACUGUGAGUUGCGAACGGGUGAGUAACGCGUAGGUAACCUGCCUGGUAGCGGGGGAUAACUAUUGGAAACGAUAGCUAAUACCGCAUAAUAUUAAUUAUUGCAUGAUAAUUAAUUGAAAGGUGCAAUUGCACCACUACCAGAUGGACCUGCGUUGUAUUAGCUAGUAGGUGAGGUAACGGCUCACCUAGGCGACGAUACAUAGCCGACCUGAGAGGGUGAUCGGCCACACUGGGACUGAGACACGGCCCAGACUCCUACGGGAGGCAGCAGUAGGGAAUCUUCGGCAAUGGACGAAAGUCUGACCGAGCAACGCCGCGUGAGUGAAGAAGGUUUUCGGAUCGUAAAGCUCUGUUGUAAGAGAAGAACGGGUGUGAGAGUGGAAAGUUCACACUGGGACGGAAUCUUACCAGAAAGGGAGGGCUAACUACGU
RNAcentral lists this ribosomal RNA (504 nucleotides) under uncultured bacterium. RNAcentral describes it as "partial 16S ribosomal RNA". It matches the Rfam family "Bacterial small subunit ribosomal RNA", at positions 28 to 506 of the family's 1533-position model. The record is from RNAcentral.